CCUACGGGAGGCUGCAGUGGGGAAUAUUGGACAAUGGGCGAAAGCCUGAUCCAGCCAUGCCGCGUGUGUGAAGAAGGCCUUCGGGUUGUAAAGCACUUUCAGUGGGGAAGAAAGCCUUGGGGCUAAUACCCUCGAGGAAGGACAUCACCCACAGAAGAAGCACCGGCUAACUCCGUGCCAGCAGCCGCGGUAAUACGGAGGGUGCGAGCGUUAAUCGGAAUUACUGGGCGUAAAGCGCGCGUAGGCGGUCUGAUAAGCCGGUUGUGAAAGCCCCGGGCUCAACCUGGGAACGGCAUCCGGAACUGUCAGGCUAGAGUGCAGGAGAGGAAGGUAGAAUUCCCGGUGUAGCGGUGAAAUGCGUAGAGAUCGGGAGGAAUACCAGUGGCGAAGGCGGCCUUCUGGACUGACACUGACGCUGAGGUGCGAAAGUGUGGGUAGCAAACAGGAUUAGAUACCCCGGUAGUC
RNAcentral lists this ribosomal RNA (465 nucleotides) under Vreelandella stevensii. RNAcentral's name for it is "partial 16S ribosomal RNA". It matches the Rfam family "Bacterial small subunit ribosomal RNA", at positions 338 to 795 of the family's 1533-position model. Lineage: Bacteria; Pseudomonadati; Pseudomonadota; Gammaproteobacteria; Oceanospirillales; Halomonadaceae. The record is from RNAcentral.